Vicia faba (fava bean) is the source of this 189-nucleotide non-coding RNA. NCBI's taxonomy places the organism in Eukaryota, Viridiplantae, Streptophyta, Magnoliopsida, Fabales, Fabaceae. The record is from the annotation of a GenBank genome assembly.
AUGAUCAAGAUACAUACAAAAUGCCAUUACAAAACCCAUGCUAAAUUGUUUCUAAACCUUCAAAACAGUUCCAAAUGUGCUUCCAAAACAUAUCUCCACUUUUCUUGCUCUAUCCAUAAACUUUUGCCUUGUGCCAAACAUAGCCAAUACCUUGUCAUGGCAUACAAAUUCAGUUCGAUUACAGGCUAA